RNAcentral lists this ribosomal RNA (468 nucleotides) under uncultured bacterium. Its description in RNAcentral is "partial 16S ribosomal RNA". It matches the Rfam family "Bacterial small subunit ribosomal RNA", at positions 28 to 507 of the family's 1533-position model. The record is from RNAcentral.
GACGAACGCUGGCGGCGUGCUUAACACAUGCAAGUCGAACGGAAAGGCCCUGCUUUUGUGGGGUGCUCGAGUGGCGAACGGGUGAGUAACACGUGAGUAACCUGCCCUUGACUUUGGGAUAACUUCAGGAAACUGGGGCUAAUACCGGAUAGGAGCUCCUGCUGCAUGGUGGGGGUUGGAAAGUUUCGGCGGUUGGGGAUGGACUCGCGGCUUAUCAGCUUGUUGGUGGGGUAGUGGCUUACCAAGGCUUUGACGGGUAGCCGGCCUGGGAGGGUGACCGGCCACAUUGGGACUGAGGUACGGCCCAGACUCCUACGGGAGGCAGCAGUGGGGAAUAUUGCACAGUGGGCGGAAGCCUGAUGCAGCAACGCCGCGUGCGGGAUGACGGCCUUCGGGUUGUAAACCGCUUUCGCCUGUGACGAAGCGUGAGUGACGGUAAUGGGUAAAGAAGCACCGGCUAACUACGUG